RNAcentral lists this ribosomal RNA (253 nucleotides) under uncultured bacterium. RNAcentral's name for it is "partial 16S ribosomal RNA". It matches the Rfam family "Bacterial small subunit ribosomal RNA", at positions 524 to 776 of the family's 1533-position model. The record is from RNAcentral.
UACGUAGGGGGCAAGCGUUGUCCGGAAUCAUUGGGCGUAAAGCGCGCGCAGGUGGCCCGGCAAGUCCGCUCUGAAAGUCAAAGGCUCAACCUUUGAAAGCGGGUGGAUACUGUCGGACUAGAGUCCGGAAGAGGCGAGUGGAAUUCCUAGUGUAGAGGUGAAAUUCGUAGAUAUUAGGAAGAACACCAGUGGCGAAGGCGGCUCACUGGUCCGGUACUGACGCUGAGGUGCGAAAGCGUGGGGAGCAAACAGG